This 31-nucleotide small RNA is filed under the name Bombyx mori (domestic silkworm). RNAcentral describes it as "ovarian small RNA-16555". The record is from RNAcentral. Lineage: Eukaryota; Metazoa; Arthropoda; Insecta; Lepidoptera; Bombycidae.
GCAUGGAUCUCCGCCCCCGUGAUAGGGGGAG